This 520-nucleotide unclassified non-coding RNA is filed under the name uncultured Glomus. RNAcentral describes it as "SSU rRNA". It matches the Rfam family "Eukaryotic small subunit ribosomal RNA", at positions 569 to 1089 of the family's 1831-position model. Lineage: Eukaryota; Fungi; Glomeromycota; Glomeromycetes; Glomerales; Glomeraceae. The record is from RNAcentral.
AGCAGCCGCGGUAAUUCCAGCUCCAAUAGCGUAUAUUAAAGUUGUUGCAGUUAAAAAGCUCGUAGUUGAAUUUCGGGGUUAGCAGGUCGGUCGUGCCAUUGGUAUGAACUGGUCUCGCUGAUCCCUCCCUCUUGACGAACUGUGAUGCCAUUAAUUUGGUGUCGCAGGGAAUCAGGACUGUUACUUUGAAAAAAUUAGAGUGUUUAAAGCAGGCUCACGCUUGAAUACAUUAGCAUGGAAUAAUGAAAUAGGACGUUUGAUCCUAUUUUGUUGGCUUCUAGGAUUGACGUAAUGAUUAAUAGGGAUAGUUGGGGGCAUUAGUAUUCAAUUGUCAGAGGUGAAAUUCUUGGAUUUAUUGAAGACUAACUACUGCGAAAGCAUUUGCCAAGGAUGUUUUCAUUAAUCAAGAACGAAAGUUAGGGGAUCGAAGACGAUCAGAUACCGUCGUAGUCUUAACCAUAAACUAUGCCGACUAGGGAUCGGAUGAUGUUAAUUUUUUCAAUGACUCAUUCGGCGCCUU